GACGAACGCUGGCGGCGUGCUUAACACAUGCAAGUCGAACGGAAAGGCCCUGCUUUUGUGGGGUGCUCGAGUGGCGAACGGGUGAGUAACACGUGAGUAACCUGCCCUUGACUUUUGGAUAACUUCAGGAAACUGGGGCUAAUACCGGAUAGGAGCUCCUGCUGCAUGGUGGGGGUUGGAAAGUUUCGGCGGUUGGGGAUGGACUCGCGGCUUAUCAGCUUGUUGGUGGGGUAGUGGCUUACCAAGGCUUUGACGGGUAGCCGGCCUGAGAGGGUGACCGGCCACAUUGGGACUGAGAUACGGCCCAGACUCCUAUGGGAGGCAGCAGUGGGGAAUAUUGCACAAUGGGCGGAAGCCUGAUGCAGCAACGCCGCGUGCGGGAUGACGGCCUUCGGGUUGUAAACCGCUUUCGCCUGUGACGAAGCGUGAGUGACGGUAAUGGGUAAAGAAGCACCGGCUAACUACGUG
RNAcentral lists this ribosomal RNA (468 nucleotides) under uncultured bacterium. RNAcentral describes it as "partial 16S ribosomal RNA". It matches the Rfam family "Bacterial small subunit ribosomal RNA", at positions 28 to 507 of the family's 1533-position model. The record is from RNAcentral.